GCCUGAUUAGCUCAGCUGGUUAGAGCGUCGUACUAAUACCUCCACUGCGAGAUAUCAAGUCAUGCGAAGGUCAACAGUUCAAUCCUGUUAUUGGGCA
This 97-nucleotide transfer RNA is filed under the name Immersiella caudata. Its description in RNAcentral is "Cercophora caudata tRNA". It matches the Rfam family "tRNA". Rfam says of the family: Transfer RNA (tRNA) molecules are approximately 80 nucleotides in length. Their secondary structure includes four short double-helical elements and three loops (D, anti-codon, and T loops). The record is from Rfam by way of RNAcentral. Lineage: Eukaryota; Fungi; Ascomycota; Sordariomycetes; Sordariales; Lasiosphaeriaceae.